CAACUUCCACCUGGCUUACCUCCNUCAGUUAUGCGUCAUGACUUGUAUCGUCUUGAGCGUAUUGUGGGUUUCCUGUGUUGCAUACCUUUCUAAUGGUAUCGUGCUGAUUGAUCGAAGUCCCUUUUCAUCUUGUGUUGCUUUUUGCGACGCAUGAUGAACCUCGAGGCGGUCUCUAUGUUCCACCACGUUGAUGCUAGCGUUUUGAUGUUGUGGCCCAUUGAGUGUUGCUUGGUUUCGUGGAUACAGAACAUGAUUUGGGCAUAGGGUUACUUGUGACUCUUGUUCUGUCC
RNAcentral lists this unclassified non-coding RNA (290 nucleotides) under Senecio hamersleyensis. RNAcentral describes it as "partial contains external transcribed spacer and 18S ribosomal RNA". Lineage: Eukaryota; Viridiplantae; Streptophyta; Magnoliopsida; Asterales; Asteraceae. The record is from RNAcentral.